GCUCCCAGGACCCCUCCCCACUUCUUCCUCAAGCCGGAGAGCCCCUCCCCGCCGCCCAUCGCCGCCACGGCCGCCGCCCCCUCCGGCCAAAAUUUGCUCCAGCCGAGCCCUCCCCCUCCUUCCCGUCGCCACCAGAAGACUCCCCGAGACCCUGCGAGCCUCCCCAUAUCUUAGCUUCAUCCCCGGAGUGCCCUUGGGCGCGGCUGCAAGUCCGGCCGGCAACCUCGUCCGCGGCCACCUCAAGUUGCCGCUGCUCUGGGCUUCGUCGGCGUGCGUGAUCGGUCGGGAUGGAUGCGGCGCCUCGCACCACGCUCUCCGGUGUGCGGAGCUCCUCCGGGAGUGACCCGAGCCGCCGGGACGCCCGCCGGCACCGGGCUUCGUCUCUACUCUGCGGGCGCACGCGAGGAAGAAGAAGAGGAGGAGCGGGAGGAGAGAGAGAGAGGAGUGGGACCCGCCCGUCAGCGUCAUAGAGCCCGGCCCCGCCUUGCCACGUCACUUAAGUGAAGGCGUAUUCCGCGGAGUACGCUUUCCCCUGCAUGUAAACGCACUUCGCCUCUGUUUUGGGCUGAAAUACGCUUUCACUGCUCCGAAGACGUAUUCCAUGAAAGGCGCUUUCUCUUUUUCAGCUCAGCCGGCCGAAGUGGUUUAGUCCCUUUUCCGCCUAAAAAAGUGAACGGCCACAAAAAGUGAACGGCCACAACUUUUCACUCGUAACUCCGAUUGAGCCUCCUCCGGGAGAGAAACUUUUCCGGCGAUUCCUUCCACAAGCUUUCCGCACAUCUCCCCGGUGUAUCCUUCAUCUCCAGGCAAGCCACAACAUCCACUUGCAUGAUGGCCAUGCAGUAGCCAUGGUUUUUAACUUGAAUAUUUAAUAAAUGUUUGCUUGUUUUGAUAUUGUUAUCGUUGUUUCGGUGAUGCUUAUGGAUUUGUGUUCACUUU
Aegilops tauschii subsp. strangulata is the source of this 939-nucleotide long non-coding RNA. RefSeq lists it as uncharacterized. Lineage: Eukaryota; Viridiplantae; Streptophyta; Magnoliopsida; Poales; Poaceae. The record is from RefSeq and is a predicted model, not a curated record.